RNAcentral lists this ribosomal RNA (370 nucleotides) under uncultured bacterium. RNAcentral's name for it is "partial 16S ribosomal RNA". It matches the Rfam family "Bacterial small subunit ribosomal RNA", at positions 354 to 716 of the family's 1533-position model. The record is from RNAcentral.
UGGGGGAAUUUUGGACAAUGGGGGAAACCCUGAUCCAGCCAUCCCGCGUGUGCGAUGAAGGCCUUCGGGUUGUAAAGCACUUUUGGCAGGAAAGAAACGUCGCGGGUUAAUACCCCGCGAAACUGACGGUACCUGCAGAAUAAGCACCGGCUAACUACGUGCCAGCAGCCGCGGUAAUACGUAGGGUGCAAGCGUCAAUCGGAAUUACUGGGCGUAAAGCGUGCGCAGGCGGUUCGGAAAGAAAGAUGUGAAAUCCCAGAGCUUAACUUUGGAACUGCAUUUUUAACUACCGGGCUAGAGUGUGUCAGAGGGGAGGUGAAUUCCGCGUGUAGCAGUGAAAUGCGUAGAUAUGCGGAGGAACACCGAUGGC